CAUUUUCUUAGCCAGUAGAAGCUUUAUUACCAGUGUAGCAUAACAAAAGAUGCAACACAAACUGCAAAAUGGCUCACUGAUUACAUAACAACUUGAUUAUGCUGGUGUUAACUAAUCGGACUUCAGAAGAGAAAGACCCUAAAAUUCAGCUAUAGUGACCUCUAUUUGACAGUGGUCAAACAGGAAGGCAGGUCAUGAGAGAGGGGGAACACAUGUGGCAAAGACACAAGUUCAUAAGCAGAGCUGCAGAAUACUCCAGGGUGUAGUCACUGAGGCAGUCCGAGUCCUGCAGCUCAUCCACAAGCCAAC
Long non-coding RNA from Poeciliopsis prolifica (blackstripe livebearer), 309 nucleotides. RefSeq lists it as uncharacterized. Lineage: Eukaryota; Metazoa; Chordata; Actinopteri; Cyprinodontiformes; Poeciliidae. The record is from RefSeq and is a predicted model, not a curated record. The transcript has 3 exons.